Long non-coding RNA from Lemur catta (Ring-tailed lemur), 1222 nucleotides. RefSeq lists it as uncharacterized. The transcript is spliced from 2 exons. The record is from RefSeq and is a predicted model, not a curated record. Lineage: Eukaryota; Metazoa; Chordata; Mammalia; Primates; Lemuridae.
GCUCAUGCUCACGUUCACAAUUCACCCUCACCUGUGGAGUCACCUGCUGCUGCCUCUAUCGUGAACCACAAGCAGCCUGGGGGUGGCGAAGGAAAAGGCUUCCUGGGGGUGUGGGAACAUUCUGGGAAACCCCCUCCUGGAGGGGCCGCGGAGGGGUCGCAAAAACAGCUCUUGAAGGAUGGGGAAUCCCCAGGCAGUUCCCUCGCCCUCAGGGAGCCAGUUGGGACGAGGACCAAGGGACAGGCUGGUAUUUUCUAGCCAGGCCCUGGCCCGAGGUUCUGGCAGGGACUCUCCAGGCAUUCUGAGCAGGGCUUGGUCCUCCCUGUGAGCUCCGGUUUAGUGUCUUGACCUUCUCCUCACAAUUUCUAAUCACAAUUUCUAGAAGGGUGAAAAGAGUCCCUGUGUGUUUCUUCCUCAGCAGAACGCGCAGCCAUUUAUUGGUGGGGUGACUUUGAGUUCCCGCCCACACUUAAAUAAGAGAGUGAUGUUCAAAGCUGAUCCCUCAAUCCCAGCUACACAUGCAGUCCCCAUCAGUCCCCAGCCCUUGCACGUGACAUUCAGAGAGAGGCCGGAGCCCGCCCCUCCUGGACAGGGGGUCCUGCUGAAAGGCGGGACUCUUCCCAAGCAGUGGGAGGGUCUAUGCCCACGUCUCCCGCCAUUCCUGGGGAAACUGACCCCAACUCCAGCCCCUCACCCUAUGAGGCGAGAAGAGGAAUUACCAAAUCACAGGACUUUGCACAGAAUAAUAUGUUUGGCCACAUCAGCCAUGCCCUCAAGUCCUGUCACCUGUUCCUUGGCUUCCAAGACUACGAUUUCAUUGACCUCAAAUGUGAGAAACACUGUAGAUGGGUUCACUCAGCGUCCAUCCCAAACUGCCUCUCCCUGCCUUCCUCCAGAGAGACGGGGACAGAAUUGCUCAAAAACCCAGCUUACGACGAUGCAGCUGAGUGCAGCCGUGUGACAGGAUUCUGACCAAAGAGUUGUAAACAGAAGUACGUGGGGGGUGAGGUUGCAGGGAGAGGGGAAGGCCGAGCUUAAAUGCCACCCUCUCUCCACACGGACUGAUGCCCAGAGGGUCACAGCCAUCUUGCAGCCUGGAGAUGACAGCCACAUACUGAGGAUGCCGCGCAGAAUGGAGGAGCUCGGUUCUUCCUUGCUCUAGGCUUAUCUCUCCACUUCCGAUCGUCUUGUUAUUUGAGAAAAAUAAACCGUGACUCGUUCA